This 465-nucleotide ribosomal RNA is filed under the name uncultured bacterium. RNAcentral's name for it is "partial 16S ribosomal RNA". It matches the Rfam family "Bacterial small subunit ribosomal RNA", at positions 28 to 507 of the family's 1533-position model. The record is from RNAcentral.
GACGAACGCUGGCGGCGUGCUUAACACAUGCAAGUCGAACGGAAAGGCCCCUUUGGGGGUACUCGAGUGGCGAACGGGUGAGUAACACGUGAGUAACCUGCCCUUGACUUCGGGAUAACUUCAGGAAACUGGGUCUAAUACCGGAUAGGAAUCCUUGCUGCAUGGUGGGGGUUGGAAAGCUUCGGCGGUUUUGGAUGGACGCGCGGCUUAUCAGCUUGUUGGUGGGGUAGUGGCUUACCAAGGCUUUGACGGGUAGCCGGCCUGAGAGAGCGACCGGCCACAUUGGGGCUGAGAUACGGCCCCGACUCCUACGGGAGGCAGCAGUGGGGAAUAUUGCACAAUGGGCGGAAGCCUGAUGCAGAAACGCCGCGUGCGGGAUGACGGCCUUCGGGUUGUAAACCGCUUUCAGCAGGGGCGAAGCUUGUGGUGACGGUACCUGCAGAAGAAGCACCGGCUAACUACGUG